UUUCUCCUUUCUCUAUUUCAGUUGUUCUUCUGUUGAUUUUUCAUGGACAAAUGGGGCACCAUUCACCAUGCUUCUCCUACAGGAUCCCCUCCUAGUGUGGCAGUCAAGGCCACACUUCUCACACCUCUCUCUCCCAUCCAUCAAAACAGCUAGCAGCUCUGAGAUCAUCUGAGCUCCUGCCAGAUUGAGGGUCAGCCAUCCAGGAAGUAUUUAUCAACUUUUAGAAAAGAAGUUUGCAACUUCAAAGAGACUGGGAUUUUUCAUGUUCCAAAGAGAAGAGAAUAGAUUGGCGUGUUAUUUUGCCAUUUUGCCAAGGAAAUAACUACUUUGUUCUCAUGCACAGUGACAUUGGCAAGCUACAGAAGAAGACAACAGAUCCCCUCCAACAGGCAGUUUCCCAUUCCUACAGAGACAAGCCCAUCCUCUUCCCCUAUAGUUGAGCACCAGAAUCCUGUUGGAUGCAAUUGGGGAGUAAUUGAUUAUAUCUCACCAGAACACACAAAAGCAAGGUACGUAAAGAGAACUAAAAUGCUGUACAAAUG
This 542-nucleotide long non-coding RNA is filed under the name Phascolarctos cinereus (koala). RNAcentral's name for it is "lncRNA (ENSPCIG00000033999.1)". Lineage: Eukaryota; Metazoa; Chordata; Mammalia; Diprotodontia; Phascolarctidae. The record is from RNAcentral.